Molecule: ribosomal RNA, 378 nt
Filed under: uncultured soil bacterium
Lineage: Bacteria
Description: bacterial SSU rRNA
Rfam family: Bacterial small subunit ribosomal RNA
Source: RNAcentral
AGGAUGAACGCUGGCGGCGUGCUUAACACAUGCAAGUCGAACGAUGAAGGCUGGAGCUUGCCCUGGCUGGAUUAGUGGCGAACGGGUGAGUAACACGUGAGUAACCUGCCCCAGACUCUGGGAUAAGCGCUGGAAACGGCGUCUAAUACCGGAUACGAGCUUCCACCGCAUGGUGAGGAGCUGGAAAGAAUUUCGGUCUGGGAUGGACUCGCGGCCUAUCAGCUUGUUGGUGAGGUAAUGGCUCACCAAGGCGACGACGGGUAGCCGGCCUGAGAGGGUGACCGGCCACACGUGGGACUGAGACACGGCCCAGACUCCGACGGGAGCAGCAGGUGGGAAUAGUUGCAACGAAGUGGGCCGACAACGACCUGAUGACGA